Molecule: ribosomal RNA, 252 nt
Filed under: uncultured bacterium
Lineage: Bacteria
Description: partial 16S ribosomal RNA
Rfam family: Bacterial small subunit ribosomal RNA
Source: RNAcentral
ACGGAGGGAACUAGCGUUGUUCGGAAUUACUGGGCGUAAAGCGCGCGUAGGCGGUACAAUAAGUCAGGGGUGAAAUCCCGGGGCUCAACCCCGGAACUGCCCUUGAAACUGUUGAACUAGAAUAUCGGAGAGGUAAGUGGAAUUCCGAGUGUAGAGGUGAAAUUCGUAGAUAUUCGGAAGAACACCAGUGGCGAAGGCGACUUACUGGACGAUGAUUGACGCUGAGGUGCGAAAGCGUGGGGAGCAAACAGG